This 441-nucleotide ribosomal RNA is filed under the name uncultured bacterium. RNAcentral describes it as "bacterial SSU rRNA". It matches the Rfam family "Bacterial small subunit ribosomal RNA", at positions 954 to 1392 of the family's 1533-position model. The record is from RNAcentral.
AUGGGAACGCGAAGAACCUUACCUAGACUUGACAUCUCCUGAAUUACUCGUAACUGAGGAAAUCCCUUCGGGGACAGGAAGACAGGUGGUGCAUGGUUGUCGUCAGCUCGUGUCGUGAGAUGUUGGGUUAAGUCCCGCAACGAGCGCAACCCUUAUCAUUAGUUGCUAACAUUCAGUUGAGCACUCUAGUGAGACUGCCUGGGUUAACCAGGAGGAAGGUGGGAUGGACGUCAAAUCAUCAUGCCCCUUAUGUCUAGGGCCACGACACGUGCUACAAUGGUGGGGACAAAAAGGAUAGCGAAACCGCAAGGUUGAGCCAAACUCAAAACCCCAUACCCAGUUCGGAUUGUAGGCUGCAACUCGCCUACAUGAAGUUGGAGUUGCUAGUAAUCGCGAAUCAGAAUGUCGCGGUGAAUACGUUCCCGGGUCUUGUACACACCG